UAAAAAUAGGUUUUAGGUAAGGAUUUCUCGAAUUUGAGAGGGCUAGGAAAGUAUAUAUUUUAUUGUGGAAUAAUUAUUUACAAUACUUUUUUCUUAGUAAUGAAAUAUUAGUCGUUCUUUAAUAUAUCUAGUUUCUUAAGAAAUUAAUUUAAUUAAGCUGGGUUGGAAUUUAACUUUUUGAUAAGUUGAUUUAGGAAUCAAGUAAUGUUUAAGGGGAUAAGCUUUUGAACAAAUCAUUAAAACGUUUAUUUGAAUUUAGGAUUAAAUAGGAAUAGAAGUUUCCAUUUUGUGAAGUGAGUAAUAUCAGGAUUUGAUUUAAGGUGAUUUUUAUUUGUUUAGGUUUUUUAUUAAGAAGAGUAAUUUAAUUUUAGGGUUUUUGGUAUAAUGAUAGGAUUAGUAUAUUUAUUAUGUUUAAUUAAUUAGGGCUUGUAAGGUUAAGUUGAGGAACUCGGCAAUUUGAUUCUCUGCCUGUUUAUUAAAAACAUGGCCUUUUGAGAAUUAUUUAAGGUCUGGCCUGCCCAAUGAUUUAUUUAAUGGCCGCGGUAUCCUGACCGUGCAAAGGUAGCAUAAUCAUUAGUUUUUUAAUUGAAAGCUGGAAUGAACGGUCGGACGAGGGAAUAACUGUCUUUACUUAAUUUAUGGAAUUUUAUUUUUUAGUGAGAAAGCUAAAAUUACUUUGAGGGACGAGAAGACCCUAUAGAAUUUUAUAAGUUUUUUUUGUGUUGAUUUUUAGGGUUUUUUGGGUUGACUUGGGAAAUAUUUAUUUUGUUGGGGUGAUGGAAAAAUUUGAAUAACUUUUUUUAAGUAAAAUUCACUGAUUUGUGAAUGCUUGAUCCAUUUUUUGUGAUUAUAAGAUUAAAUUACCUUAGGGAUAACAGCGUUAUUAGUUUGGAGAGUUCUUAUCGAUAAACUAGUUUGCGACCUCGAUGUUGGAUUAAAAUGAACUUAUGGUGUAAGGGCUAUAUGGUUAAGUCUGUUCGACUUUUAAAAUUUU
RNAcentral lists this ribosomal RNA (994 nucleotides) under Prosopocoilus savagei. RNAcentral's name for it is "partial 16S ribosomal RNA". The stretch from base 430 to 670 matches the Rfam family "Archaeal large subunit ribosomal RNA", at positions 1787 to 2143 of the family's 2987-position model. Lineage: Eukaryota; Metazoa; Arthropoda; Insecta; Coleoptera; Lucanidae. The record is from RNAcentral.